RNAcentral lists this ribosomal RNA (673 nucleotides) under uncultured Vibrionaceae bacterium. RNAcentral's name for it is "bacterial SSU rRNA". It matches the Rfam family "Bacterial small subunit ribosomal RNA", at positions 1 to 671 of the family's 1533-position model. Lineage: Bacteria; Pseudomonadati; Pseudomonadota; Gammaproteobacteria; Vibrionales; Vibrionaceae. The record is from RNAcentral.
UAGAGUUUGAUCAUGGCUCAGAUUGAACGCUGGCGGCAGGCUUAACACAUGCAAGUCGAGCGGUAACAGAAAUAGCUUGCUAUUUGCUGACGAGCGGCGGACGGGUGAGUAAUGCUUGGGAAUAUGCCUUAUGGUGGGGGACAACAGUUGGAAACGACUGCUAAUACCGCAUAAUGUCUACGGACCAAAGGGGGGGAUCUUCGGACCUCUCGCCAUUUGAUUAGCCCAAGUGAGAUUAGCUAGUUGGUAAGGUAAUGGCUUACCAAGGCGACGAUCUCUAGCUGGUUUGAGAGGAUGAUCAGCCACACUGGGACUGAGACACGGCCCAGACUCCUACGGGAGGCAGCAGUGGGGAAUAUUGCACAAUGGGGGAAACCCUGAUGCAGCCAUGCCGCGUGUGUGAAGAAGGCCUUCGGGUUGUAAAGCACUUUCAGUUGUGAGGAAAGGUAUGUAGUUAAUAGCUGCAUACUGUGACGUUAACAACAGAAGAAGCACCGGCUAACUUCGUGCCAGCAGCCGCGGUAAUACGAGGGGCGCAAGCGUUAAUCGGAAUUACUGGGCGUAAAGCGUUCGUAGGCGGUUGAAUAAGCAAGAUGUGAAAGCCCAGGGCUCAACCUUGGAACUGCAUUUUGAACUGUUCGACUAGAGUACUGUAGAGGGGGGUAGAAUUUCA